CCUACGGGCGGCAGCAGUGGGGAAUAUUGGACAAUGGGGGCAACCCUGAUCCAGCCAUGCCGCGUGUGUGAAGAAGGCCCUCGGGUUGUAAAGCACUUUCAGUGAGGAAGAACGCCUGGUGGUUAAUACCCAUCAGGAAAGACAUCACUCACAGAAGAAGCACCGGCUAACUCCGUGCCAGCAGCCGCGGUAAUACGGAGGGUGCGAGCGUUAAUCGGAAUUACUGGGCGUAAAGCGCGCGUAGGUGGCUUGAUAAGCCGGUUGUGAAAGCCCCGGGCUCAACCUGGGGACGGCAUCCGGAACUGUCAAGCUAGAGUGCAGGAGAGGAAGGUAGAAUUCCCGGUGUAGCGGUGAAAUGCGUAGAGAUCGGGAGGAAUACCAGUGGCGAAGGCGGCCUUCUGGACUGACACUGACACUGAGGUGCGAAAGCGUGGGUAGCAAACAGGAUUAGAUACCCCAGUAGUC
RNAcentral lists this ribosomal RNA (465 nucleotides) under Vreelandella stevensii. Its description in RNAcentral is "partial 16S ribosomal RNA". It matches the Rfam family "Bacterial small subunit ribosomal RNA", at positions 338 to 795 of the family's 1533-position model. The record is from RNAcentral. Lineage: Bacteria; Pseudomonadati; Pseudomonadota; Gammaproteobacteria; Oceanospirillales; Halomonadaceae.